This 257-nucleotide ribosomal RNA is filed under the name uncultured bacterium. Its description in RNAcentral is "partial 16S ribosomal RNA". It matches the Rfam family "Bacterial small subunit ribosomal RNA", at positions 524 to 776 of the family's 1533-position model. The record is from RNAcentral.
UACAGAGACCUCAAGCGUUAUCCGGAAUCAUUGGGCGUAAAGCGUGCCGAUAGGUGGUUUAUUAAGUUUUGGGUAAAAGCCAGAAGCUUAACUUCUGAGUUUGCUCAAGAUACUGAUAGACUAGAGGGGCAAAGAGGUGCUUGGAACGAAUGGUGUAGUAGUGAAAUGCGUUGAUAUCAUUCGGAACACCGAAAGCGAAGGCAGAGCACUGGGUGCCACCUGACACUGCUAGGACGAAAGCGUGGGUAGCGAAUGGG